Molecule: long non-coding RNA, 574 nt
Organism: Camelus dromedarius (Arabian camel)
Lineage: Eukaryota; Metazoa; Chordata; Mammalia; Artiodactyla; Camelidae
Exons: 4
Source: RefSeq, a predicted model, not a curated record
CUCUCCCACAUGAAGCCCCACACAAGCAGGUGUGAUUCGACUGCAUGUUGGGGAGCCUGUAAUCACGGAAGGUUUAGACCUAAAAAGGCAUGAGUGACUGCUUAGAGCCAAUGGAUGAGUAAAAGGCCAGCAGAAUGCCCAGCACAUAGUAGGCCCUCAAGCAAUGGCCACCAUGAUCAGUACACCCUACAGCAGCCUCUUCUGUUUGUAGUGGAGGAAACUGAGACUGAGAGAGUGUGUGUUUGUAGACACAACUGAAGCGCCUGCACACGUGGCUCACCGAGAAGGAGUCAAUGGCUGACGACUCUGAAGUUUUGGCUUAUUUGGCUUCACUGUGCAUCGAGUACACGAACUUGCUUUCCGUAACAAUUUUGGUGAGCCAGCCCUGGAAUUUGUGCCUGAGGCCUGUUGAUUCUGGCUGGGGACAGCCCCUUGCCUGGGUCCCAGCGGCUGCCGGCAGUGCUCACCUCGCUCCGGGAACCAGGAGGGACUCUUCCUGACAGGCACUGGCCGCUGCAGGCACCGGGCUGUUUGGAGCCAAGAAACGUCUGGAGCUGCGUCCAGAUUCGGCAUC